AUGGAAAGUAACAGAGCCCCUGGUCCAGAUAAUAUCCCAGUUGAAUUUUAUAAACACUGCUGGGACUUUGUUAAAAGAGAUAUUAUGUGUCUAUUCGAAGCCUUCCAUAACAACACUUUGGAUGUUGCGCGCUUGAACUAUGGGGUAAUUACCUUGAUCCUAAAGUUGAAUGAGGCCAAAAAAAUUCAACAAUAUCGCCCUAUUUACCUCCUCCGAUGCCCCUAUAAAUUGAUAACCAAGGUUCUUGACAACAGAGUUGCCGUGUUCGCUGACAAGCUUAUUAGCAAGCACCAAAAUGUGUUUAUCAAGCAUAGAAAUAUUAUGGAUAGAACCCUCACUCUGCAUGUGUGUUGCAUCACACACAUCAUAAAAAAAUGUGGAGUUGUGCUGAAAUUAGAUUUUGAAAAAGCCUACGAUAAGGUAAAUUGGGACUUCCUUAUCGAAUGUCACCGCAAUCGUGGCUUUGGGGACGUUGGAGACAUAUGCGAAAAUCCAAAUUAUAGAUACGUUGGAGGCGUAUCACGUCUUGCCCCUACCUGGCCUAGCCGCUGCCAGCCAGAGCCGGCCAAUCCCUCAUCUCGGCCAUCCACUCCACCGUGGCCAUCGUUCGUGCCCCGCAGUGUCGGUGGCCUCGUGCUGGCCGCCGGUGACCUCCAAUGGCUUCGAACAAGCCUGAGCGCGCAGGGUCCCACGCCACCUCCACGACUCAAGAGAGAAGCCUUCUGCACCCUCGUGGCCGACCGCCUCUCGCUGCCCAUGCCCAUUGUGGCCACCGUCACGGGCCACGCAGCUGACCCGGCUGCAUGCUAG
This 810-nucleotide ribosomal RNA is filed under the name Triticum aestivum (bread wheat). RNAcentral describes it as "partial small subunit ribosomal RNA". Lineage: Eukaryota; Viridiplantae; Streptophyta; Magnoliopsida; Poales; Poaceae. The record is from RNAcentral.